This 152-nucleotide microRNA precursor is filed under the name Lotus japonicus. RNAcentral's name for it is "miR11067 stem-loop (lja-MIR11067)". Lineage: Eukaryota; Viridiplantae; Streptophyta; Magnoliopsida; Fabales; Fabaceae. The record is from miRBase by way of RNAcentral.
GGGUCAGCUCGACGGGUUGGCUAAAUGAGCCGGGUUAGGUUGGUUAAAUUCCAGUUCGAAAAGAACUUGGGUUAGUGCAACCCGACUCGUUGAACUCGCGGGUUAGACGGGCCAACCGCGGGUCAAGCGAGCCAACCCGUCGGGUUAGAGUU